Molecule: ribosomal RNA, 624 nt
Filed under: Pseudomonadaceae bacterium 20-04PB
Lineage: Bacteria; Pseudomonadati; Pseudomonadota; Gammaproteobacteria; Pseudomonadales; Pseudomonadaceae
Description: bacterial SSU rRNA
Rfam family: Bacterial small subunit ribosomal RNA
Source: RNAcentral
AUAACGCUCGGAAACGGACGCUAAUACCGCAUACGUCCUACGGGAGAAAGCAGGGGACCUUCGGGCCUUGCGCUAUCAGAUGAGCCUAGGUCGGAUUAGCUAGUUGGUGAGGUAAUGGCUCACCAAGGCGACGAUCCGUAACUGGUCUGAGAGGAUGAUCAGUCACACUGGAACUGAGACACGGUCCAGACUCCUACGGGAGGCAGCAGUGGGGAAUAUUGGACAAUGGGCGAAAGCCUGAUCCAGCCAUGCCGCGUGUGUGAAGAAGGUCUUCGGAUUGUAAAGCACUUUAAGUUGGGAGGAAGGGCAGUUACCUAAUACGUAUCUGUUUUGACGUUACCGACAGAAUAAGCACCGGCUAACUCUGUGCCAGCAGCCGCGGUAAUACAGAGGGUGCAAGCGUUAAUCGGAAUUACUGGGCGUAAAGCGCGCGUAGGUGGUUUGUUAAGUUGGAUGUGAAAUCCCCGGGCUCAACCUGGGAACUGCAUUCAAAACUGACAAGCUAGAGUAUGGUAGAGGGUGGUGGAAUUUCCUGUGUAGCGGUGAAAUGCGUAGAUAUAGGAAGGAACACCAGUGGCGAAGGCGACCACCUGGACUGAUACUGACACUGAGGUGCGAAAGCGU